Long non-coding RNA from Zingiber officinale, 727 nucleotides. RefSeq lists it as uncharacterized. NCBI's taxonomy places the organism in Eukaryota, Viridiplantae, Streptophyta, Magnoliopsida, Zingiberales, Zingiberaceae. The transcript has 2 exons. The record is from RefSeq and is a predicted model, not a curated record.
UCACAUUGUCGCACAGAUUGGACUAAACUUCUGGUCCCACCGGACUCCAAUCGUCGCACGGGUAGCGUGCUUCGAUUUCGGUGAAUUAUUUUAAUGCCUUGAAUUGGCAACGAGGAACGCCACGCUUCGUCUGGCCAUCGACCCGACGACGGCUGACGACGAUGGCAAACAAACUGCACCGCUUACUGACGGCGCCAUUGACGCUGUCGAAGCGUGAGUUCGUGCAACCGAAAUUAGGGUUAGGGCUGGCGCUUCAGGGAGCGAGAACCCUUGCAACUUCUGCGCCGCCGCCGUCUCAAGAGGCGUCUAGGUUUGAUCCGCCGCCUUCCCCGUUGAAGCCGGCAGAAGCUGACAAGGAGGAAGUGAAAAUCGAAGAGGGAACUAGAAAAGAUGAGGUGGUGGAGAAUGAUGAUGGCGACUGCGUGAACAAGCUCACCGGUGAGAUUGGCGGUCCGAAGGGCCCCGAGCCAACUCGGUAUGGAGAUUGGGAACGCGGAGGUCGCUGCUCCGACUUUUAGUUCCCUUCGUCAGCAGAACUGAAUAAACUUCUUAAAAAGGUUGAUGCUGUCAGGAGAGAGUUCCAGUUGCUAGUCCCUGCAGACCUCGAGGAUAUUAUUAGUCUUUUUGUUUUCUUACAUAGUCUAUACUAAAUUUGUUUUGUUUGAUGGUAUGGAUAUGGUAUGGAUUUUGUGAUGUCGAUGGAUUUGGUCUGGUUUUGCUUUUACUA